UAAAAAAAAAAAGUAAAGUAUUUGUCCUCCUUGAUAUUCAUAAUCAAUAACUUUUUAAAAGUGGCAAAAUAUUUACUGUAGCAAUCAAAAUAUUCAUAAUCUCUCUCUAAAAGCAUCAGCAAGUAACAGAGGAAGGGAAGAACCUGAAAAAUUAGCAAUCAGUCAAAACUAUCUCGUCAAUGGCGGCCUCUGAGACCGUCAAUGUAUCAUCCUCAUAUUGAUCGGAGUUCUCGCUUUCUCGAUCCGUCUCUUCUCUGUCAUCAAGUACGAGAGCGUCAUUUAUGAAUUCGAUCCGUAUUUUAAUUAUCGAGUUACUCAGAGGGACUAGUAUAGUGAAUGAUGAUGUUUCAAGUCAAUUAGCAAAUGCAGUUCAAGUGGAGUUUUCGGGUUGCGGAAUAAUAUUGAGCUUUUGGAGACCAUUCAGGUUUAUCUUGGCUGCAGCUUCCAGCAUACUUCAUCCUUCUUGAGAAUGUGAACUUGGUGUGUAAGCUGCUGCAUAUUUCAUUCGUCUUGUGAAUUGUGAAUUUUUGUUUUGUCUUUGUUUCAUGUGCUUCUCUCACGUAGUUGAUUGUGGUAUCAACUAUCAUCUAAAUAUUUUAUUAGAUACACUCACUGUCUGAAUCCUACACUCCAUUACCACCAAGAAUUCUUGGAAAAGCAUAAAGUCCUUGAAAUAUGUUUGAUAUCCUUGUUGUUUUUGUACAGUUCAACAGUUUUAGAAGAAUAGGCUGCAGUUGUUUCUUUGACAGUUGAAGUAAAUUCAUGAAAUCUAUUCUUAUUACACUAGAAUAGAAGCGAUUUCGUUAUUCGGUUGUCAUACUUGCAUUGUGAUGAAAGUUAAGGAGGUGCUAGAACCUUUGUUGUCUUGCUCUGUUCCCCUGUUCAAGCUAAGCUACUAAGAACUUGGGUUCAAUCUUAAUCUUAAACUCCAUAAGCUUGAUGUUAAUAUGAUCAGAUUAGAUCACUUGGAUGUCUAGCUAUGUUUUUGUAACUGAAAAGGGCAGCUUCACGUUUCACAUCAGAUUUCUAGAAUCCAGCAUAUUUCACAGUACUAGAACAAUUUGAGAUUCAUGAGAAUGUCAUUUUUUCUAGUUUUUAUCUAAUACUAUGUGUAAUCUAGUUUAACUCUAAAAUACAAGCACUAGAUAUAGUUAAAUAUAUGUUGAAGUUUUUCUUAUUAAUAUAUGAUAAUGUAUGUAAAUUGUCAUUCUUA
Beta vulgaris subsp. vulgaris (sugar beet) is the source of this 1213-nucleotide long non-coding RNA. RefSeq lists it as uncharacterized. Lineage: Eukaryota; Viridiplantae; Streptophyta; Magnoliopsida; Caryophyllales; Amaranthaceae. The record is from RefSeq and is a predicted model, not a curated record. The transcript is spliced from 4 exons.